CCCUUAGAUGUUCUGGGCUGCACGCGCGCUACACUGAUGCGUUCAACGAGUGUAUAACCUUACCCGAUAGGGUUGGGUAAUCUUUUGAACACGCAUCGUGAUGGGGAUAGAUUAUUGCAAUUAUUAAUCUUCAACGAGGAAUGCCUAGUAAGCGCAAGUCAUCAGCUUGCGUUGAUUACGUCCCUGCCCUUUGUACACACCGCCCGUCGCUACUACCGAUUGAAUGAUUUAGUGAGGACUUCGGACUGGGACCGAUGCGGCUUUCGGGCUGCGUCGGUAUUCUGGAAAGAUGUCCAAACUGUAUCAUUUAGAGGAAGUAAAAGUCGUAACA
RNAcentral lists this ribosomal RNA (331 nucleotides) under uncultured eukaryote. Its description in RNAcentral is "partial 18S ribosomal RNA". It matches the Rfam family "Eukaryotic small subunit ribosomal RNA", at positions 1470 to 1796 of the family's 1831-position model. The record is from RNAcentral.